AUUCCUACGGGAGGCAGCAGUGGGGAAUAUUGCACAAUGGGCGCAAGCCUGAUGCAGCCAUGCCGCGUGUAUGAAGAAGGCCUUCGGGUUGUAAAGUACUUUCAACGGGGAGGAAGGUGUUGUGGUUAAUAACCUCAGCAAUUGACGUUACCCGCAGAAGAAGCACCGGCUAACUCCGUGCCAGCAGCCGCGGUAAUAAU
RNAcentral lists this ribosomal RNA (200 nucleotides) under uncultured bacterium. RNAcentral describes it as "partial 16S ribosomal RNA". It matches the Rfam family "Bacterial small subunit ribosomal RNA", at positions 335 to 526 of the family's 1533-position model. The record is from RNAcentral.